Molecule: long non-coding RNA, 220 nt
Filed under: Setaria italica (foxtail millet)
Lineage: Eukaryota; Viridiplantae; Streptophyta; Magnoliopsida; Poales; Poaceae
Description: long non-coding RNA (SITA_LNC002105)
Source: RNAcentral
CCACGGUCACUUUGAGAGGCGUGCGAAGAGCUAACCUGAUGGACGAGCUGUCUUUUAUAUCGACGUGGCAGAGCCACGUAACUCCAUGAGCUAGUAAGCCAGCUCAACCGUUGGACACGGCCUUAUGGAGCUAGGGCCGCGGCAUAUUUGACAGGGAGUAUUUUUCAAUUUUCAUGGCGACAAGAAGGUCCAACCGGGCGACUUUUUCUUCCAGGCAUCU